RNAcentral lists this unclassified non-coding RNA (292 nucleotides) under Hevea brasiliensis (rubber tree). The record is from RNAcentral. Lineage: Eukaryota; Viridiplantae; Streptophyta; Magnoliopsida; Malpighiales; Euphorbiaceae.
GCGAGUUCCGGCAAAUGGGACAGGUAGCAUUCAAUCGAAGCCAUUCAUCAAUGCAAUCAACAUGGAAGCAAUGCUGGCAUUCAGGAAUAGUCUUAAGCGUCUCCUUAGGUUUGUACUCUGACAAGCAUAUUGAGCAAAUGUUGUCCUCAGGCUUGGGCAAGCGUCGGCUCUCUCCAAGGACUAUUUUGGGAUAGGAUUCUAUGGUGGGUCCAUCCAGGCCUGCACUGACUGUGGGUUGUGGAUUAACUAUGAAAGCAAAUUCUGGAAGAGGGUGGCUCCUUCUUCUAGCGCA